UACGUAGGGUGCAAGCGUUGUCCGGAAUUAUUGGGCGUAAAGAGCUCGUAGGCGGUCUGUCGCGUCUGCUGUGAAAACUCGGGGCUUAACCCCGGGCCUGCAGUGGGUACGGGCAGACUAGAGUGCGGUAGGGGAGACUGGAAUUCCUGGUGUAGCGGUGAAAUGCGUAGAUAUCUGGAGGAACACCGGUGGCGAAGGCGGCAUCCUGGACCAACACUGACACUGAGGAGCGAAAGCCAGGGGAGCGAACGGG
Molecule: ribosomal RNA, 253 nt
Filed under: uncultured bacterium
Lineage: Bacteria
Description: partial 16S ribosomal RNA
Rfam family: Bacterial small subunit ribosomal RNA
Source: RNAcentral